ACGAACUGUGCGAACGUUAUUCGGAAUCACUGGGCUUACAGGGUGCGUAGGCGGCCAUUCAAGUCAGGUGUGAAAUCCCACGGCUCAACCGUGGAACUGCGCUUGAAACUGUUUGGCUUGAGUCAGCUAGAGGUAAACGGAACUUCCGGUGGAGCGGUGAUAUGUGUUGAUAUCGGAAGGAACACCAGAGGCGAAAGCGGUUUACUGGAGCUGUUACUGACGCUGAGGCACGAAAGCCAGGGGAGCAAACGGG
This 253-nucleotide ribosomal RNA is filed under the name uncultured bacterium. RNAcentral describes it as "partial 16S ribosomal RNA". It matches the Rfam family "Bacterial small subunit ribosomal RNA", at positions 525 to 776 of the family's 1533-position model. The record is from RNAcentral.